Molecule: RNase P RNA, 368 nt
Filed under: Buchananella hordeovulneris
Lineage: Bacteria; Bacillati; Actinomycetota; Actinomycetes; Actinomycetales; Actinomycetaceae
Description: RNase P RNA component class A
Rfam family: Bacterial RNase P class A
About the family: Ribonuclease P (RNase P) is a ubiquitous endoribonuclease, found in archaea, bacteria and eukarya as well as chloroplasts and mitochondria.
Source: RNAcentral
CAAGGCGGCCGGGCGGUCGCGGCGCGAAAGCGACGAGGAACGUCCGGGCUCCACAGGGAAGGGUGGUGGCUAACGGCCACCCGGGGUGACCCGCGGGAAAGUGCAACAGAAAGCAGACCGCUCGCGCAUGCGAGUAAGGGUGAAACGGUGAGGUAAGAGCUCACCAGCGAUGUAGGUGACUGCGUCGGCUAGGUAAACCCCAUCCGGAGCAAGACCAAACAGUAGGUGCCUGAGGGCGUCCCGCCCGAGCCUACGGGUAGGUUGCUUGACCCCAGUGGUAACGCUGGGGCUAGAUGGAUGGCCGCCGCCGCGCAAGGUCCGCAAGGACAGCGCGGUAACAGAACCCGGCGUACAGGCCGCCUUGCCCC